Molecule: ribosomal RNA, 1151 nt
Filed under: Candidatus Taylorbacteria bacterium RIFCSPHIGHO2_01_FULL_44_110
Lineage: Bacteria; Candidatus Tayloriibacteriota
Description: bacterial LSU rRNA
Rfam family: Bacterial large subunit ribosomal RNA
Source: RNAcentral
UAGGAAAUUUAAAGGGCGUAUGGUGGAUGCCUUGGCUAGAAAAAGCGAUGAAGGACGUGGCGUGGCGGCGAUACGCUUCGGGGAGGUGCCGAGCAACCUUUGAUCCGAAGAUGUCCGAAUGGGGAAACCCCUUCAGGUAAAACCUGGAGACCUGCUUAGAUUUUUGUGUUCAAAAAAGAAAAAGGCCCACGGGGGCCUUAGUGAAAACUUCAAGGGUGACUUCCAAGAACUUGUCGAAGCGGAAGGCUUCAGAAAGUCUUAGGGUAAGAAACCUUGUAAAUCUUCACUAGAUAUAGUAUCAAAUUAUAUUCUUUUUGUCAAGAACCCAAAAAUCUAAGCAGGAGCGUACCCUGGGAAGUAAAACAUUUCAGUACCAGGUGGAAAAUAAACAAACAUGCAUUCCGUCAGUAGCGGCGAGCGAACGCGGAGAAGACUAAACCCUACUUCGCUCAUUGCUACGCAUGAGCUACGAAGGGCAGGCCCUAAAUAAAGGAACUUGCCCUUCGAAGCUCGUUACGUAGUAACGAGCGGAGUAGGGGGUUGCGAGGUUGAGACGUGCUAUUCUAUUUAUUUAGAAUUGGCAGAGAAGUUAUCAAAUUUUUUAUUAGCUUGACGAGCUGGAAAGCUCGACCCUAGCGGGUGAUAGUCCCAUAAGCGAAAAUAAAAGAUCUUCUUUGUCUUGAUUCUCAAGUACACCGGGACACGAAAAGCUCGGUGGAAUCCGCCAGAACUAACUGGCAAGUCUAGACCGAUAGUGAACAAGUACCGUGAGGGAAAGGUGAAAAGCAGCCCGGAAGGGCGGUGAAAUAGAUCUGAAACCAUAUGCCUACAAGGAGUCGGAGCGGACAACACAAAUUAAAUAAUUCUACAAAGGAACCAUUUAACAAUUAUUAAUAGUUCAAUUGUUGAAUAGUUAAAUUGUUUAAUUUGUGUUGUCCGUGACGGCGUGCCUAUUGAAGAAUGAGCCAACGAGUUUUAGCAAGCUGCUCGACUAAGUCCGCGAGGACGGAGUCACAGGGAAACCGAGUCUGAACAGGGCGCUCGUAGUUUGCUAAAGACCCGAAGCCAGAUGAGCUUGCCACGCGCAGGGUGAAGUUCUCCGAAAGGAGGAUGGAGGCCCGAACCGGUUAGCCGUGCAAAACUAUCGGAUG